Molecule: ribosomal RNA, 1372 nt
Filed under: uncultured bacterium
Lineage: Bacteria
Description: bacterial SSU rRNA
Rfam family: Bacterial small subunit ribosomal RNA
Source: RNAcentral
GAUGAACGCUGGCGGCGUGCCUAAUACAUGCAAGUCGAGCGAACGGACGAGAAGCUUGCUUCUCUGAUGUUAGCGGCGGACGGGUGAGUAACACGUGGAUAACCUACCUAUAAGACUGGGAUAACUUCGGGAAACCGGAGCUAAUACCGGAUAAUAUUUUGAACCGCAUGGUUCAAAAGUGAAAGACGGUCUUGCUGUCACUUAUAGAUGGAUCCGCGCUGCAUUAGCUAGUUGGUAAGGUAACGGCUUACCAAGGCAACGAUGCAUAGCCGACCUGAGAGGGUGAUCGGCCACACUGGAACUGAGACACGGUCCAGACUCCUACGGGAGGCAGCAGUAAGGAAUCUUCCGCAAUGGGCGAAAGCCUGACGGAGCAACGCCGCGUGAGUGAUGAAGGUCUUCGGAUCGUAAAACUCUGUUAUUAGGGAAGAACAUAUGUGUAAGUAACUGUGCACAUCUUGACGGUACCUAAUCAGAAAGCCACGGCUAACUACGUGCCAGCAGCCGCGGUAAUACGUAGGUGGCAAGCGUUAUCCGGAAUUAUUGGGCGUAAAGCGCGCGUAGGCGGUUUUUUAAGUCUGAUGUGAAAGCCCACGGCUCAACCGUGGAGGGUCAUUGGAAACUGGAAAACUUGAGUGCAGAAGAGGAAAGUGGAAUUCCAUGUGUAGCGGUGAAAUGCGCAGAGAUAUGGAGGAACACCAGUGGCGAAGGCGACUUUCUGGUCUGUAACUGACGCUGAUGUGCGAAAGCGUGGGGAUCAAACAGGAUUAGAUACCCUGGUAGUCCACGCCGUAAACGAUGAGUGCUAAGUGUUAGGGGGUUUCCGCCCCUUAGUGCUGCAGCUAACGCAUUAAGCACUCCGCCUGGGGAGUACGACCGCAAGGUUGAAACUCAAAGGAAUUGACGGGGACCCGCACAAGCGGUGGAGCAUGUGGUUUAAUUCGAAGCAACGCGAAGAACCUUACCAAAUCUUGACAUCCUUUGACAACUCUAGAGAUAGAGCCUUCCCCUUCGGGGGACAAAGUGACAGGUGGUGCAUGGUUGUCGUCAGCUCGUGUCGUGAGAUGUUGGGUUAAGUCCCGCAACGAGCGCAGCCCUUAAGCUUAGUUGCCAUCAUUAAGUUGGGCACUCUAAGUUGACUGCCGGUGACAAACCGGUGGAAGGUGGGGAUGACGUCAAAUCAUCAUGCCCCUUAUGAUUUGGGCUACACACGUGCUACAAUGGACAAUACAAAGGGCAGCGAAAUCGCGAGGUCAAGCAAAUCCCAUAAAGUUGUUCUCAGUUCGGAUUGUAGUCUGCAACUCGACUAUAUGAAGCUGGAAUCGCUAGUAAUCGUAGAUCAGCAUGCUACGGUGAAUACGUUCCCGGGUCU